Molecule: ribosomal RNA, 254 nt
Filed under: uncultured Lactobacillus sp.
Lineage: Bacteria; Bacillati; Bacillota; Bacilli; Lactobacillales; Lactobacillaceae
Description: partial 16S ribosomal RNA
Rfam family: Bacterial small subunit ribosomal RNA
Source: RNAcentral
AGUAACGCGUGGGUAACCUGCCCUUAAGUCUGGGAUACCAUUUGGAAACAGAUGCUAAUACCGGAUAAAAGCUACUUUCGCAUGAAAGAAGUUUAAAAGGCGGCGUAAGCUGUCGCUAAAGGAUGGACCUGCGAUGCAUUAGCUAGUUGGUAAGGUAACGGCUUACCAAGGCGAUGAUGCAUAGCCGAGUUGAGAGACUGAUCGGCCACAUUGGGACUGAGACACGGCCCAAACUCCUACGGGAGGCAGCAGCG